GUUUCAGCAAAACUCAAAAAAUCCCAUUUCUCCUUAUCACCUUCUUCAGCCUGCAUUUUCUCUUUUUUGCCAUUUAAGGUGCUGCCUGUAACCUUGGCCUGCAGAAAGACUUGCAUAAAGGCUCUGAAGAAUGUACAGGAUGUGUUGCAAGAGAACAGCUUUUCUGUGUCAACAUUGCCAAGAAGCAACAAAAUAAGUAGACGGCAGAUUUUGCUGGGUUUGGAAGAAAGGCCAGGUGGCAUGGUGGCAUUUCUCAAGGACAGGAGAGUAUGCUGCAAUGCCACACAGAAGGCUUAGUCACACCACUGAGAAAUACAGCACUGGGUACUGCUGCUUGAACUGAAUGGUAGCAACAGAUCGACAGCUACACGCAGUCCAUCACUUUGAAGACUUGUAAAUGUUUACUGACAAAAGCACCAACUCUCAGAAAUCGAGAUAUUUCAAGCUCCAGGAGAGAAUGAACUUCACAGGCCACUCUGCUUGUUUCCCAUCUGAUUCAAGGGGAAAAAUAAAAAGCCCAAGGACUUCUGCCUUGAGUUUUUGCUUCUUAUCCCCAGUAGCUUUCAGUCAUAGACACAAAUUAGCCUUGAUGAAUUGCUCUGGAUGAAUUCCUUAUUGCUUGUUCCCUGCCAAUGCAUCUUCUGAGAAAACAAACUUCUACUCCUCUGCCACACGAGUAGAUGUGCGCCCACUGCACCAAGCAACUCAAAUGAAACGUUCCUUCUGUGAAAAAAAUUGAGAUGACCUUCCAGGUCUCUGUAUCUAUAACAAAAUGUAAUGUAUCAAGAUAUUAAAAUUCUGUAUUUUGAUAUUGGAAGCCUAUUAAAAUAGUACAGAACUGCUU
This is a long non-coding RNA of Numida meleagris (helmeted guineafowl), 844 nucleotides long. RefSeq lists it as uncharacterized. Lineage: Eukaryota; Metazoa; Chordata; Aves; Galliformes; Numididae. The record is from RefSeq and is a predicted model, not a curated record. The transcript has 3 exons.